AACAACUUAACUUUUCAAUUUUUAGAUACAAUAUUUGACUUUUCGUCUUAUUAAAAAAGUUUUAUGAUUAAUAAUUUUAUUUUUAUUAGAUGAUAAAGCAUGAGUAGUAAUUUAUGUGUGACUAAUUUUUUUAAAAUUUCUUGAAAAUUUUUCAAAUAAGACAUAUGGUCAAACGCUCGAUACAAAGACCGAAAAGUUGAAUUUUUG
Molecule: microRNA precursor, 207 nt
Filed under: Oryza brachyantha (malo sina)
Lineage: Eukaryota; Viridiplantae; Streptophyta; Magnoliopsida; Poales; Poaceae
Description: MIR812 microRNA precursor family
Rfam family: MIR812 microRNA precursor family
Source: Rfam by way of RNAcentral